RNAcentral lists this long non-coding RNA (798 nucleotides) under Sarcophilus harrisii (Tasmanian devil). Its description in RNAcentral is "lncRNA (ENSSHAG00000031238.1)". Lineage: Eukaryota; Metazoa; Chordata; Mammalia; Dasyuromorphia; Dasyuridae. The record is from RNAcentral.
AUGAACUCAUAUUGCAUAGGAGUGGUGUGAGAGUCAUGGGAGAAUCAUGAGCAGAACUAAGAAAGUAAUGAAAGAGUAAGCAUAACUGGUUGGUUACUUCCUUAAUAUCACAGUUCUAGGAGGAACUCUCCACUUGGAGGAGAACUUUCCAGGAUGAGAAGACUAUAUGGAAUAGAGAAGUGAAAAGGGGAGUUGAAAAAAAUGAAUGAAGAUUUUAGUCAGAGCUCUGACCACAACUCCAGUCCAAACAAGAAAACCAUCCAGAGUCUGAAAAAUUCGGGAAAGGAGCAAACCUUCAGGGACCGGAGGCAGAAGGAAAAAUUGAGAGAUAACUUCCUGUGGCAGAACGAAUGGUGGGGGGAAAACAGGCUCUGCACAUUUCUCCCCCCUGUGCUUGGGCCCUGUCUCUGUGGAUGCAGCUUAAGAACGAAAUUAGUGCUUCACCCUCGGCCCCCAACACUUCCCAGGCAGACUGCCCCAAAGCUUCCAUAUUUACUAUCCAAGAGAGAGUCAACACCAUCAAUGGCCUGGUCUCAAACACGUCCUACUUCUCCUUCAUCUUUACACCCAACCUCCCCGACUGGUCUCCAGCCUACCAGUCACCCUCUGCAACCCCGGCAACUGGUCCCUUUAGGUAUUUGGCCCCAAGGUUUUAUCAUGGCUCCUCCCAAGAACAGGCCUCCCAGAAGCCAUUCCCACUUUCCUUAGGGAGGUACCCCAUUCCCUCAAGGAGAAUGAUAACUCCCUAAUCCAUUUAUAUUAAUAAUAAAAUGUAUAUUAAAAAUAAAUAUAUAUUUA